AUUGAACGCUGGCGGCAUGCCUUACACAUGCAAGUCGAACGGCAGCACGGGAGCAAUCCUGGUGGCGAGUGGCGAACGGGUGAGUAAAGUAUCGGAACGUGCCCAGUCGUGGGGGAUAACGUAGCGAAAGUUACGCUAAUACCGCAUACGAUCUAUGGAUGAAAGCGGGGGAUCGCAAGACCUCGCGCGAUUGGAGCGGCCGAUAUCAGAUUAGGUAGUUGGUGGGGUAAAGGCUCACCAAGCCGACGAUCUGUAGCUGGUCUGAGAGGACGACCAGCCACACUGGGACUGAGACACGGCCCAGACUCCUACGGGAGGCAGCAGUGGGGAAUUUUGGACAAUGGGCGAAAGCCUGAUCCAGCCAUGCCGCGUGCAGGAUGAAGGCCUUCGGGUUGUAAACUGCUUUUGUACGGAACGAAUAGGUUUGGCCUAAUAAGCUGAGCUCAUGACGGUACCGCAAGAAUAAGCACCGGCUAACUACGUGCCAGCCGCCGGCGUAA
This 500-nucleotide ribosomal RNA is filed under the name uncultured bacterium. Its description in RNAcentral is "partial 16S ribosomal RNA". It matches the Rfam family "Bacterial small subunit ribosomal RNA", at positions 30 to 523 of the family's 1533-position model. The record is from RNAcentral.